GACGAACGCUGGCGGCGUGCUUAACACAUGCAAGUCGAACGAUGAACCUCGAAAUGUUUUCUUCGGAAAGAUUUUUGAGAGGAUUAGUGGCGAACGGGUGAGUAACGCGUGAGCAACCUGCCUUAGACAAGGGGAUAGCCUCGGGAAACCGUGAUUAAUACCCUAUGAGACUCCACUUACGAGUGUAAGAGAAGUUAAAGCUAUUGCGGUCUAAGAUGGGCUCGCGUCUGAUUAGCUAGUUGGUGAGAUAAAAGCCCACCAAGGCGACGAUCAGUAACCGGCUUGAGAGAGUGAACGGUCACAAUGGAGCUGAGACACGGUCCAAACUCCGACGGAAGGGAGCAGUGGGGAAUAUUGCACAAUGGGGGCAACCCUGAUGCAGCGACGCCGCGUGAGCGAUGAAGGAAUUCGUUACGUAAAGCUCUGUCCUUGGAGAAGAUAAUGACGGUAACCAAGGAGGAAGCACCGGCUAAAUACGUG
This 480-nucleotide ribosomal RNA is filed under the name uncultured bacterium. RNAcentral's name for it is "partial 16S ribosomal RNA". It matches the Rfam family "Bacterial small subunit ribosomal RNA", at positions 28 to 507 of the family's 1533-position model. The record is from RNAcentral.